UUAGGGUUAGGGUUGGAGCUAGGGUUAGGGUUAGGGUUAGGGUUGGAGUUAGGGUUAGUGUUGGAGCUAGGGUUAGGGUUGGGCUUGGAGCUAGAAUUUUUCUGAGUGCAAUGAACCAACUCCCGAGUCUCUAGGACGUUACUAAAAAUAUUUGUUUUUUUCCCAUAGGAAUGCAUGGGUUAGGGUUAGGGUUAGGGUUGGAGCUAGGGUUAGGGUUAGGGUUAGGGUUGGAGCUAGGGUUAGUGUUGGAGCUAGGGUUAGGGUUGG
RNAcentral lists this long non-coding RNA (267 nucleotides) under Xyrichtys novacula (pearly razorfish). The record is from RNAcentral. Lineage: Eukaryota; Metazoa; Chordata; Actinopteri; Labriformes; Labridae.